UCCAAAGAUAGAAGCCAAAUGCUACACUGACAUAAUAUUUUUAACAAAGUUUUAAUUUUUAGGUAACACAAUUUUGCUGAGCACGAAUCCAAUUUUAAUAACGCGGCGGGCUUCAACAUAUUUAUAUUGCAAAGAAACACAGAACUAGUUUGGACAUUGGUAUCUUUUCUGAAGGGAAAGUGCAUCUAGUUGGAUGCGUUAAACAGGUUGUCAUACCCGUUCCCAUUAGCAACGAGGAGAGACAAACUUCUUUGAAAAAACAUUAUGCAAUUACCAAAAAGCUUCAGUGGCUGUCAUUAAAAUUCUUCAACUGUCGACAAUGCACAUAAUUGAUGAAGACUUUUAAACUAGACAUUUUUGAAUGGAUAAGUGUAUUCUUUUCAGUAAAACAUCCAAAGUGUCGCCUCGCCAAAUUACGUACAUUUUCAUUUGUAAGUAUUAUUUUCUAGU
Molecule: long non-coding RNA, 450 nt
Organism: Acyrthosiphon pisum (pea aphid)
Lineage: Eukaryota; Metazoa; Arthropoda; Insecta; Hemiptera; Aphididae
Exons: 3
Source: RefSeq, a predicted model, not a curated record